UNGGCUCACUGGCCUGCGGUAUGGUCUGUC
RNAcentral lists this non-coding RNA (30 nucleotides) under Mus musculus (house mouse). Lineage: Eukaryota; Metazoa; Chordata; Mammalia; Rodentia; Muridae. The record is from RNAcentral.